Molecule: ribosomal RNA, 380 nt
Filed under: uncultured bacterium
Lineage: Bacteria
Description: bacterial SSU rRNA
Rfam family: Bacterial small subunit ribosomal RNA
Source: RNAcentral
GACGAACGCUGGCGGCGUGCUUAACACAUGCAAGUCGAGCGGUAAGGCCCUUUCGGGGUACGACGAGCGGCGAACGGGUGAGUAACACGUGGGUGACCUGCCUUUAGUCUCUGGGAGUAAGCCUGGGAAACGUAGGGUCGUAAUACCGGAUAUGACUCCGCGGUGCAUGCUGUGGGGUGGAAAGCCUUGUGCGGCUGGAGAUGGGCCCGCGGCCUAUCAGCUUGUUGGUGGGGUGAUGGCCUACCAAGGCGACGACGGGUAGCCGGCCUGAGAGGGCGACCGGCCACACUGGGACUGAGACACGGCCCAGACUCCUACGGGAGGCAGCAGUGGGGAAUCUUGCGCAAUGGGCGAAAGCCUGACGCAGCGACGCCGCGUGA